GGAAAGAGCGGAACGCGAGAGUACAGAAGUUAGGUUAUGUUUACUUGGGUCCCGGAGAAUUGUUAUCAUAAGAAACCGUGUAUGAUAUUCGUGAUUUUAAGAGAGAAUUAUUUGCAAAAAUGCCAUUAUUAAUGCGUGUCUUCAGAAGAAACAACACAGAUAUGACAAGAAUUAAAGACGAAAAUGAUUUUCAGUGUUUUAUUUUUUGUAUUCUUUGUAUUAAUUGUUCAACUUGGUGAUACUGACCUUCUCAUGGUGGACUCAUGCAACUGGGAAAAAUUGAUCGCCGACUGAUAAUUUGACGGAUAAUUUUGAUUAAAAGCACACCGAUUGCAUCCAGGAAACCUAUUAGAAAGUACCAUACAAACAGUAUUUUUGCACAUCCCACUGAAUUUAUGUCUCUCGAUAAUGGAAGGUAGAAGGUAAACACUCGAACUACUGACGAACUUUGAGCAGCAGAAAUGGUCACGCCAGCAGGAAAUGGAUGCAAUUUACCCACUAGGCCUGCCCCUGCACCUCCUGGAAGCUCCAUGUCCAGGGGCAUCUCAUCUCUAGACCUAGGAAGUGACAAGAAGCAUGCCAUUGAAUCCACAAGACCGUCUAGUCUUGCUAAUCAAUUUAGAUCUCAUUCAAUGUGCGAUGUUAGUAAGAAAAAGAAACCUCCACCACGGCCUCCCCCACCAAAAAUUGACAACAAGAACAAAAUACAGAACCGUACAACUGUUUUAUCAAAUUUGUUCUCUCGAAAAAAUUCUUUUGCGGCUUCAAGGCCUGCUCACAUCUUUAACUCUGAGAUCACGAAGGCUGUCCACGUUCCAAGUGUACCAGUAGCAUCUCUGAUUGACUUGCAUUCACCUCCUAGUUCACCAACUCUUACCACAAGAUCAAGUAGUGAUGGAGUCAGUGUUGACAGUCUGAGUAGUGACAAUGGAAACACUUCAGCCAGUGGAAAUUACGGAACCGGCUCUCAAGUGGAAAGUGGUUUCGAAGAUGACUUCGCUCUUUUUCCUACGAGCCUCAGUCUUGAGGACACCACCAAACCCGUCACAGACCCUUUCUCCCCUUUGCCAAAAUCAGCAUGCGUCAAUCCAACUUUCCAACUGAGCAAUGAAGAUCCUAAGUUAAAAGUAAAAAUGCUGGACACACCAGCUGUUCGCAACCCCACAAUUAUACGAACAAAGCAGAGUAAAGCACCUUUGAGGCCACCUUUACCCGUAAUAAGUCAAAAUUCAUCUGAGUCUCUAUGGGCAGUCCCGUCCAGCAGCUGUACGCAGCCAUCAGAGUCAAUCUUUGACUUUCCUGAUGAUUUUUCCCCGCCUAUGCCCUCUGUUCCACCACCUCCUCCCCUGCUGAGGUUCUCCAAGCACUAUGCAGUGGGCCACCAGUUCCACCGAGACCAUCAUUUGAGUUUAAACCAUCAAAACGUGUUGAAAGUGAAAAGCCAUACUGCAUUGCUUUGUAUGAUUAUAACGCAGAUGUUGAAAGUGAUUUAUCCUUUAAGGAAAAAGAUGUGA
RNAcentral lists this long non-coding RNA (1514 nucleotides) under Bemisia tabaci. RNAcentral describes it as "lncRNA ENSASIAIIG001453". The record is from RNAcentral. Lineage: Eukaryota; Metazoa; Arthropoda; Insecta; Hemiptera; Aleyrodidae.